This 360-nucleotide ribosomal RNA is filed under the name uncultured bacterium. RNAcentral describes it as "partial 16S ribosomal RNA". It matches the Rfam family "Bacterial small subunit ribosomal RNA", at positions 338 to 696 of the family's 1533-position model. The record is from RNAcentral.
CCUACGGGUGGCAGCAGUGAGGAAUAUUGGUCAAUGGGCGGAAGUCUGAACCAGCCAAGCCGCGUGAAGGAAGAAGGCUCCAUGAGUUGUAAACUUCUUUUGUACGGGAACAAACGCCGCUACGUGUGUCGUGGUGAGAGUAUCCGACGAAUAAGCAUCGGCUAACUCCGUGCCAGCAGCCGCGGUAAUACGGAGGAUGCGAGCGUUAUCCGGAUUUAUUGGGUUUAAAGGGUGCGUAGGCGGUUGGGAAAGUUAGCGGUAAAAUGCCGGGGCUCAACCCCGGCGAGCCGGUAAGACUGUUGGACGAGAGAAGAGGAGAGGUAGGCGGAAUGCAUGGUGUAGCGGUGAAAUGCAUAGAGA